UGCCCUGUCUGUGCCCUGGUGCUUAGGCCCUGUCCGGAGGGAGAGGCCGGCUGUCUCAGCUGCCUCUCCUUGUCUGCAGAGAAUGGAGGGCAGGAGGGGGGUGUGCUGACCACAAGACCCUGGGCAUCCAAAAAACUCAUCUGGAAGGGCAAGAAGGCACUGCUGAGCCUGGCCUGAGUCUGUGCUGGAGGCCUAGUUAGUGGCCUGCAUUUUCCGGGUUACUGUGGAUAGUGAAGUUGGGGGAUGCCUGCACCCUGGAGAACAUCACUGCCUUCUGAAGCCACACUGUGACCUUCCAGAAGCCUCUGCAGUCUGAACCAGGUCCUCUCCCAGCUGAGUUGGGA
Long non-coding RNA from Erinaceus europaeus (western European hedgehog), 344 nucleotides. RefSeq lists it as uncharacterized. NCBI's taxonomy places the organism in Eukaryota, Metazoa, Chordata, Mammalia, Eulipotyphla, Erinaceidae. The record is from RefSeq and is a predicted model, not a curated record. The transcript is spliced from 3 exons.